Non-coding RNA from Pelobates cultripes (western spadefoot toad), 11181 nucleotides. NCBI's taxonomy places the organism in Eukaryota, Metazoa, Chordata, Amphibia, Anura, Pelobatidae. The record is from the annotation of a GenBank genome assembly.
GUAAGAUUUCCCUGAGUCAGAGUCCUGAGAUUUUGAAGAAGGAAUCAGCAUUGGGUGAAAGGAAUACACAAAGAAGCAGCACUGGAGUGAUAUAGAGGAAGACUACAUAGAGGUGGGUAUCCUACUACAACAAUGAACUAGAAACAACAAGCACCAAUGAAGUGCGCUUACAAUUUUGAAACAGUUCUACGUUGCUUCAACAUGCUUCCAUUAGAGUGUCAGAGGUAAGGUUAGAUGUCAGAGAACGUAUUCUGAGCUGGCCCAGCAACAAUUCAAAUUUAUGCUCAUACAAUUAGGUGAUUUUAACAGUUAAAUGAAUGACAAAGGAAUGAAAGUGAAAAACAUCUAAAAUAACAAAAUACUGUAUACCAUUUGUGAUUAGCAAACUGAGUUUCACAUGGCAAAUUUUAGGUUGAAAAUAGCAAAUGUGUACAACGGAAUGCUAUGUGGAUGCUGUUCAUUAGACACGUGCAAUUCACUUUAUUUAUUUUGUUCGAAUUCAUCCAAAUUCUUUGGAAUCCAAAAUGAAACGAGAAGGAACAAACUCGGAACAAAACAAAUUAUUUUAAAUUAAUUUGUUUUCAUAGGGAUAGCAAAUGAGGGACAUAUCUACUAAGAAACUGAAAAAGCAAAAUUAAGUAAAAGGCCUUGUUUUAAUUUUGCUCUUUCAACUGAUUUUAGAUAGCUCACUAAUUUGGCAUUAUUACUGGGAUUGCCAUAAUUAAGGGUACCAACUUGUUGCUCUGUUUAGGAGAUAGCCCCAUAUUUGGUAAUUGGUCGGUAUAAUUUUUUAUUUUUGUUUACCUUCUUAAUUUCUGAUGGGCAUUAGCUUGUACAUGAACAGGCAUUGACAAAUGACAGUUUUAGUCAUGAAACAUGGUUACAACAUUGUUUUUUUUUAGUGAAGAAACUGGCAAUGUGAAAAUAAGUAACCUUAAUAACAAUUCUAUUAAUUGGGGAAGGAAAUACUGAUAACAUGGAUAAUCCCCCAUAAGACGAACAGUGGGAGAACAUAGCUUAAGCGUAUUAAACUUUCGUCUGUGGGGCAAUUAUCAGCCGUAAUUAUAUGCCACAUUAUAAACUAAGGGGCAAACGCCUUUUAGCACGCGUGGUUAAAGGGACACUAUAGUCACCUGAACAACUUCAGCUUAAUGAGGUUGUUCAGGUGAGUGCUACAGCUCCCUGCAGCCUUUUUCUUGUAAGCACUGUAUUUUCUGAGAAAAUACAGUGUUUACAUUGGAAGCUUGGAACACCUCUUGUUGCAGUCAAUCAGACGGCCACCAGAGGGACUUCCGAGUUCAGAAGCCCUAAAAAGGCUUCAUUCACGUCUGACGUAUUAAUGCAUGGGUGAAUACUUCAGACGUGCUAUCAGCACACAAAGCACUGUGAACGCGCUUUGUGUGCUGAGGCUGUCAGCACUGCAUGGGAGUGGCUUGAGCUGACAGGCUGAAGACCGAAGAGGAGGAGGGGAGGAUUCAAACUGUGUAAGUAAACUUAUUUAGUGAGUGUGGGUGGGUGACUGAGGAUGGAUGAUGGGGAUGGAUGGAUAUGGAUGAUGGGAGUGGAUGGAUAUGGAUGAUGGGAGUGGAUGGAUGAAUAUGGAUGAUGGGAAUGGAUAUGGAUGAUGGGAGUGGAUGGAUUUGGAUGAUGGGAAUGGAUGGAUAUGGAUGAUGGGGAUGGAUAUGGAUGAUGGGGAUGGAUAUGGAUGAUGGGGAUGGAUGGAUGGGGAUGGAUAUGGAUGAUGGGGAUGGAUGGAUGAUGGGGAUGGAUGGAUAUGGAUGGAUGGAUAUGGAUGAUGGAUGGAUGGAUGGGAUAUGGAUGGAUAUGGAUGAUGGGAUGGAUGGAUGGAUGAUGGGAUGAUGGAUAUGGAUGAUGGGGAUGGAUAUGGAUGAUGGGGAUGGAUAUGGAUGAUGGGGAUGGAUGGAUGGGGAUGGAUAUGGAUGAUGGGGAUGGAUGGAUGAUGGGGAUGGAUGGAUAUGGAUGAUGGAUAUGGAUAAUGGGGAUGGAUAUGGAUGAUGGGAAUGGAUGGAUAUGGAUGAUGGGGAUGGAUGGAUGAUGGAUGGAUAUGGAUGAUGGGAAUUGAUAUGGAUGAUGGGAAUGGAUGGAUAUGGAUGAUGGGAAUGGUAGGAUGAUGGGGAUGGAUAUGGAUGAUGGGGAUGGAUGGAUAUGGAUGAUGGGGAUGGAUAUGGAUGAUGGGAAUGGAUGGAUGAUGGGAAUGGACGAUGGGAAUGGAUAUGGAUGAUGGGGAUGGAUAUGGAUGAUGGGAAUGGUUGGGAUUGGAUGAUAUGGAUGAUGGGAAUGGAUGGAUGAUAGGGCUGGAUAUGGAUGAUAGGGAUGUAUGGAUAUGGAUGAUGGCGAUGGAUAGAUAUGGAUGGAGAAAGAGUGUGUGUGUAUGUCUAAUUUUUUACUACUUGUGUGUUUGCAUAGAAACACUAUAUAUAGGGAGAUCUCUAUACAUAGUGUUUCUAUGCAAACACAGUUUGGCUGAGGAGGGGGCGGGUAUAGAAAUCGAGCUGAGCUGUCAGUCAGACAGCUCAGCUCGCGAACACGCAUUCCGCGCACAUGGGUGGCAUUCAAUGCUGCUCUAUGAAGAAUGCGAUUGGUGCUGCGCGAAACCGCGCAUGCGCACCACAUCGCGAUGACGCUUCUCAAGGAGAAGCGUCCUAUUGGGCCCUGCGAUUUCGUCAUUUUGACUGAAAAGGGGGCGUGGCCUAGCGGGGAGCUCGGCGCUGGAACGGAGGUAAGUUUUAUUAUUAAAACUUACUCAGAUUUUUUUUUUUUUUUUUUUUUAUGACAAGUUCAUAUAAAAGCAAGAAAGAAGGCUGGGGGACCUGUCUUUCUUGCUUUUAUAUGUUGACUAUAGUGUCCCUUUAAGGUAGAGAGGGAUAAAGCAGUAUAUUACUCAUGGGAUGUCAGCUUGUGGAGCCAAAUUGAAAGAAAAGAACAAUUGCAAACAAAUUGAAUAAACAUAACAAAACUUGUAAUAAAAGAACAUUGACAGGUUCAGUGCCAGUCAAGUGGGUGUAUCGCCAGCCUGUAAGGAGUCUCUGCACAAAAGGUGUGUCUACUGACCAUAAUGGUUCAUUCCUCGCGUGUAUGGGCACGUUUGGCAGCCCCAUCUCUUGAAGCAUAGCAAGUGCCUCGGAAGGGUGAAGGGUAUGCUGUCCUCAUCUGAGGAUUCCGAGGCAGAGACCGCCAUGGGUGCCAUCUUGGCAGGCUCGGGCCUAGGCGCCUGUGUCAUGAAAGUCCCGAUAACGCGGGACCCGGAACCCUGAUCGGCCCGGUGCUCUAUUGCUUUAUUUCCCAUCUGUGUCAAAAGGAGCUGGGUCACGAAUUGAGUCACAGUUAAGCGAUUUCAGCUUUCAAAAAGCGCAUGUAUGUACAAUGCAGAACGGAGCUCCGGUAGCAUGUGUCCGUCUCGCUUGGAUGCUGGCUCCGCCUCCCAUAAUUAAUUUUUUUAAUCCAUAUUUUUAUGCAGGGUGAUACAUAUAAAGAGCAUAAGAGUCACACAGUAGUAUGGAUUCUGUGUCAUAUUCUAUAUCCUAUUUUUUUAAGUAUAUAGAUACACAAGUAAUCAAGCUAGUGGUCUCUUGAGCAGUCUCUGUGUUAUUAAAAUACUUGGAACAAUAUGGUAAAACCAUGAUUAUUGCCACAAAUAAAAGAUAUAAUGCUAUGUCAUCCUGCUAGAUGGGCUCAAUAGGGAUUUGGUAACCCUGACCAACGGGGUAGUGGGGGGGGGGGAUAUACUGCAAACUAUGGAGACCAUAGCUGAACAUUACAUACAGGCACAAGGCUAAAUAGGAAACAUGCAUAAUAUGGUAUGAAAGAGAACUAAAUAAACAUAGCGUAAAACAGGAAAACAAUAAAACAAACAAAAAUAAGACGGAUCAUCUUGGGAGUCUCAGGCCUCCUACACAAACUCAGACCAGGUCCCCGAGAAUGAGUCCUCUCCUCUUCUAUGUAUAAAGAGGACUGGCUGGGUGCUAGGAGUAGGGCUAUUGGCUUCCAAUGUUGGCACCACAAGACCUAAUGCUGUAAAUAAGGAGCCUCUUUGAUAGAUUACAUUUUCAGUGGGUGACAGAGAGGGCCUAGAAUGUUGCCCAUCGGUACUCCAUACUGGCUGCUUACAGCUUUUACAGAAUGCAAUGACGUUUUCCAUUGAAGUGUGGAUCUAGUAAGGGUGUGAUAUAGUGAGAUGUGAGAAUUCAAAUGAGUAAGGCGUGUUGCGGUGAAAUGUAGCCACCAUGAACUGACGUUUAUCAAAGGAUGCGGGGUAUCUUUUGAUGACAUCACACAUGGCAGAAGAUUUGGUUGUAAGAUAGGCUCCAUGGAAAAUGAUCUUAUCAGCAUGGCUCGGAGGGAGAAAAGACACCAUAAGCUGGUGUCACCGGUUCCUCCAUUGCAAUUGCUUCCUGGGAUUCCUCUGAUUUUGACAUUGUUGCUCUGGCUACGGUCAUCCAGAAGGGCCUCUUGCAUGGUGAGUGCAUGAAGGGCUUGAGAUGCCAUAUGAGAUAUACAGGGGACAGCUGAGCCACGGUAUUAAUAAGCAAGAAAACCAGUGUCUUUGCCUUUUCUGUUGAAUCUUGCGAGCGCUGCACACAGAAUAGGGUCUUCUUGAUCAAGAUCCGCGCCAUUUACUAUAGGUAACCCUUAUAACAAUCCCACAUAAGGAUAACAAAUUAAGGAGUUAUCUACUAAACAACUGAAAGGACAACAUUAAGAAAAGGGCUUGGAUAACUCCCUGAUUUAGUAUCAUGCAUAUAUCACAUACAUUCUAUUUACAUGUAUGCCAUACAUUCAGUAUGCAUUCAGCCUAUACAUUAUUUUUUUGUAUAGAUUCUCUGUUAUGUCAUUAUAGUUGUUUUGCACUAAAUAAUAAAGACUGGCUUUUGAACUUGAUAAUCUAUUUGUGGUGUGCAUCCUUGUGCUUUCAUAUGUUUUGGCUGUGCCUCAUGCUGUUUUCUGGCACUGUGCUCUGGACAAAGAAAAAAGAGAAAGAACAACUCUGAGCUCACUGAUUUAUGGAUGGGCAUGUGAUUAGUUCAAGGUAACGUUGAUGCCAACAUGAUCUUUUGCAAUUAAUCAUAAUCGCAAUUAAUCAUAUUAAAAAAAAAAUAGAUCCACCUGGUCAUCGCCAUGUGUUAUGCAGACCUGCGGUAAAAAUCGCAUUUUAAACUGAUGAAGGGGAUGUGUAGGGAGGGCUAGCUAACUUAUUUUAUACUACAGAGGUAGGCAACAUUCAGCACCGUAUCUUAUGAACUAUAUCUCCCCUGAUGCAUUUUCAGUGUUAUUGCUGUAAGAGCAUGACAGGAGAUGUAGUUCACACUGUAUGUUGCCAGCAGUUCUGCUGGUACAGGAACAGCAGACCUUUUUACGUUUAAUCAAUCAGUUUAAUAAAGCAGUAUCUGCUUCUGAAUUAGUCUCUGUUUAGGGAUACGUGGACCACUCCUUUAUGACUUGUAAGCUGACAAACCACGAUUUUAAAUUCCUAGCACUAUGUGUCUAGUCUUAGAUGGACCAAAUGGAACAAAUAUUAACCCCUUAAAGACCAAACUUCUGGAAUAAAAAGGAAUCAUGACACGUCACACAUGUCCUGUGUCCUUAUGUUGUUAAUAUACUAAUUCAAAACAGUGGAAUUGGUCACUUUCUUGAAUAAAAAAGGAAAACUGACCAAGGAGGUCAGAACUAGGAGGAUGCCCCCUGGAGGAUUGUCAUAUGUUUAUGUGCAAAUAAAACAUAACCUUUAAUAAUUUUACAUAUAAAAGCUUCUGUCCAAUGAGGAACAAAAGAAUACGUUAAAAAAGAGUCUGGAUAGGUCAGAUAAAUAAUUCUAAUUGGGAUGUGCAAGCUGAAUUUCACAUCUAAUGAAUCCUAAGGUGAAAAGGACAUACACAGAGCCCAAUAAAUAGCUGAAUCAAAUCUAUGAUGCAAAUAGGAGGCAGCUAAUAAAAAAGUAAGGCUGUCACAAACAUAAACUGUAUAUAUAAACGUAUAUAUAAUAAUGUUAAUACGUUUAUAUAUACAGUUUAUGUUUGUCAUUUACUAAAGUUAUAAAAGAUUGAAUACAUUUCAUUUUUUAAAUUUUUUUAUUAUUAUUUUUUCCUUUGGAUACCGGUGGCGCAAAUUCCCUAGACAGCUGAUUCAUCAAUUUAAGCACAAUAUGUGAUACCCCACUAUUAAAUAUUAAAUAUAUAUCCCUAAAUUAAUACUGGAUACAGGAUCAUAAAUGUAGUGCCCGUACUCAUUAAUAUUUCAUUAUAAUGUACUACUAGUCACUUUUUUCCUUUAUCUGAUUUUUGUGGAAAGGGAUCUCUUGACUAGGAAAAUAUCAAGGUACAAUUAAUAGAUUUACAUUGUUUUGUUUCUGUGUGAUUUAGAUAUUGCAGUACAUUUAUAUGCUUAUAUACAUAAUUUGUUUGCUGCUAAAUUAAGCUUUUCUAAAUCUCCAUCUGAUUCUCACUCUAUGUACUCCAGCCUAUAUUUCGUUGGACAUCUUAUUACUGUCUUGGUAUUUACUUUAGCACACAAGGGGUUACUAUACACAUACAUCAAUUAAUAUGUGCCGAAUCAGUUAAUUCAUUGUGCCACCAGGGGGGGGGGGGUUAUCACUCCGGACUUUGAUGAUACGUCAUCAGGUAGGCGUGACUAUGUCCGGACUAUUCCCCCUUUUGGCGCGAACACUCCUCCAGCUGAUUGGCUGAAUAUAGAUAUAAAUUAGCCACCGGAUUCCCGAGGACGCCUGUAGAGCCUCAGACGAAGGCGCGUUUUUGCAGCGCCGAAACACGUGUUAGGUAGCAGGAUUUUGAGUCUGGUUAGGCAGGCUAGACAGCUGACUUCGAGAUGCUAAAGUGAUAGGCAGUUCUCUUUAUUAGUUUAUCGUGAUCUAGGUAGUCGACCCACUUUGAUUAUUUUGGGGACUAGGCAAGCUUGCUGGCAUACUGAUGGAGGUUUACCAUUAUUUAUAAAAUCUCCACGUUGCUGUCGUUAUUGCACUGCCCUCUGACAGCUGCAGAGGCAGAACUUUUACUACAUCAGGCAUGAUUCCUGUCUAGCUCAUUUUCUAGUAAGACUGUAACAAUCUCUCAGCGUUAAUCAACAAGGUGGCUAUUUUGCAUCCUAUGUAGCAAUAUUCUACCAAAUCAUAUUAUCAUUCACUGAGAGAGGGCUAACCUAGCAACAUAGUGACAGCCUUACUUUUUUAUUAGCUGCCUCCUAUUUGCAUCAUAGAUUUGAUUCAGCUAUUUAUUGGGCUCUGUGUAUGUCCUUUUCACCUUAGGAUUCAUUAGAUGUGAAAUUCAGCUUGCACAUCCCAAUUAGAAUUAUUUAUCUGACCUAUCCAGACUCUUUUUUAACGUAUUCUUUUGUUCCUCAUUGGACAGAAGCUUUUAUAUGUAAAAUUAUUAAAGGUUAUGUUUUAUUUGCACAUAAACAUAUGACAAUCCUCCAGGGGGCAUCCUCCUAGUUCUGACCUCCUUGGUCAGUUUUCCUUUUUUGCUAUACAUAUAAGUAAGGGUUACCCCCUAUUUUGGACGCCCCAGAUACACACCCUAACUGGUUUUUCCCUGUUUCAGGGUAUCCAGUAUUCUUUUCACUUUCUUGAAUAGCCAAACUAUAGAUCUGUUUUUCCAAAUUGGUAAUUUAAAAGAAAAAAUUUAUUCUUGUCACAUUGAUAUCAAUGGACAGAACCCACAAAACUUAGAUGUCUGUGCACUACUGUAAAUGUAGGUUAUCACCUAAACAAUCACUUGUAUCAUCAUGAUGAGGUAGGGCAUAACAAGCCAUAAAAAGGCAGUUAGGAUAAGUGUCUUUGGCAAUUGCUCAUUUAUUCGGUCAUGAAUCACUUACAAGCAUUGUCAUCUUCUUUACUGUGACUGGGAAAUAAGCACAGUGAUGUCAUAGAGUCAUCACUUCUAUUGUGGACUUAAUACACCACAGAAAGAGAAUGCAAUAUGUGACUUUGUGUCCCUGAUAUGUGUGAUAUGUGUCCCUGUGUGUUGGCAAGAGUGCGUUCAAAUAAUUAUAAAAGUAAAUACAGUUCAUCAUCAACCAGUUUACUGUUUAUAAUACGUAGAUUAAAGGAUCACGAUAGUGUCAGGAAACCAAACCCAUUUUCCUGACACUAUAUAACCCUUAGGUCCGUCCCCCCCCCUCCCUUGGCUCCCUUGGUGCUGAAGGCGUUAAAACCCCUUCAGUUACUUACUUUAAUCCAGCACUGGGCUCCCUUGGCACUGGUGACCUCUCUUCCCCUGCCGAAGUCAGCUCCCGAGUGGAGUGGAAUGUGCAUGCGCGGCAGGGGCCGCGUGCGCGUUCAAACAGUCCAUAGGAAAGCAUUUCUCAAUGCCUUCCUAUGGACAUUCUGCACGCUGAAUGCGAUUUCCGCAUCCAGCGUCGCAGAAGCGCCUCUAGCGGCUGUCAGGAAGACAGCCACUAGAGGUUGGAUUAACCCUGCAAUGUAAACAUAGCAGUUUACAUCUGAAGGGUUAAAACCUGGGGGAUCUGGCACCCAGACCACUUCACGUGCAAUCUCAUUAAGUAAAGAGAAACUAAGUAGAAAUUGGCUCACCAUUUUAAUCCAUAUAGGUAAUUUAUUAAACAAAGUCGUUAAAAUGAAAAGGAUUGGAGUGUUUCAUACAGGCUGAUCUUAUCCCAUAAACAGCUACCAACAAUAACUUAUGGGAUCAGUAGUUUAUACCCCAGAAACCGUUUUACUCAUCUCUUAGGAGGAGUAGAACUGUUCGAAAAACCAUGCUGUUUAUCAAAAGCUCAGUUUUCAUUUUAGUUUUAAAGAAUCACUAAAGUCAGUGGGAUUUAGUAGAGGGAAGGACUGGGAUUUAGUAUGGGGGGGCUGAAUUUAGUAGAGGGGGGAUGGAAUUUAGUAGAUGGGGGCUGGGAUUUAGUAGAGGAGGGGCUGGGAUUUAGUAUAGAAGGGUGCUGGGGUUUAGUAGAGGGGGAUGCUGUUUUCUAUUUAUACUUUGUUUUCUAAAUAAACCUAUGUUUCCAUGAAUAUUUAAGGUUGUUUUUUUUUUUACAGCCCACAUAAAUUUAAACCUUGUUUAUUUGGCCCGUGCUAGCCUUUGAUUUUGACAUGCUUGAUCUAAAGCAUUGCCACUUUUUUUUACAUGUCUACAUUGUAGCGUUAAGUCCACCUGUGACUGUUAUACUCAUACAGCCACUAGAGGUGCUUCUGCAGUAUGGACCAAGUCACAUGAUGUGGAAGUCCCAUAGGAAAGCAUUGAUGCACGUUCGGUACUUGUUGCGCAUGAACAUUAGGUCAUCAAUGCUCUGAAUUGGACAAACGUGAAGGCGGCCAUGCCUCUUCCAUGAUGACAUGGGAUGCAGGGACGUAAGUAGCACUAAAGGAGCCUCAGCACUCUAAAAAGGAAAGAAUAAAAAAAUUAAAAAAUUUUUUUUGCACAGAUCGGGGGGUGGGGGGGAGGGGAAUUUAUCUAACUGGCGGCAAGGACACUAAAGUGUACAGGUUUGUACAUUACUGAGGUAUGUACCCAAUGGAACAGCAAGCUUGCCCACUGGACACCAGCCAAGGACCACCAAGGAGACUUAAACCCCUCCAUGGACCACCAUGGCACAGGCAGAGAAUUAACGCACACACCCUCAGGGAUUUUUAACCCCUGCUGGACCACUAGGAUUCAUAGCCCCCUCCCUGCAGCCCUGCAGAAAGGUGACCAUGAGGGGGACAAAACAUAGAUAUAAGUGUAUACACAAAUAUACACACAGCCAACAUACAUUACACACAUCCCUACUACACACAAACAUCACUACACAUACACAUUAAACACAGGCAACACACAACACAGAAAUACUACACAAUGGCAACACACAACACAGACACACACACAAAACGCACAGUGCAUAGAGCCGGAACACAACAGACACCUAUGACAUACAGCCAGCACACAACACACGCACAUGAAUGAUACAGCCAGCACACAACACAUGCACAUGAAUGACGUAAAGCCAGCACACAAUACUUACUACAUACAGCAAGUUCACAACACACACUUACUACAUACAGCCAACACACAAUAUGAAUACUACAUACAGCUAUGACAUACAUCACCCUUCAGGGGUGGGAGGGGGUACUGAGUUUGAGACACUUUGUCCAAGGCUGUUGGCAAGGACUUUAAUUAUUUUCAAUCAUAGAAACAGAGCUCAGGGCACUAGGAGAUGGCUCCAAUGUGGCACACUGCCUUGGUACUCUGGGCAACCUUAAUCCAGCUCUUGGCAAAGCUCUUAUUCAAGGUUCAGCAAGCUCAGCACAAGUUGUGCAUGUGGAGUGUAGACAUAGACAGCCUGGAACUCUAAUCACAUACUGCCUGAUUGACAAUUUGGAGCUUUCUACAUAUCAAUGUACUUGUAAUCCAUCCGCAGAGCUGAGAGAGGCUGUAAAGCGGUCUAUGCACUGUCAAUAAUACAAAGUCAUAAUGGCCCUUGUGUUAUCCCCUUAAUAACUCUCCAAACAAUAUAAAAAAGUUCUAGGCAUAAAAUACUCUCUCUCUAAAAGUCUCCUCUCAUUUGAUGUUUAUAUUAUCCUGCUUUAUAAUAUGUGGUAUUUUGGGAACAUGACAUGAUUUGAUUUUGAAUUUAAUGCAUUUUAAUUUCUUAUUUGCACAGGAUUUUUGUUGUUUUUAAAAAAAAAUUUUUUUUUUUAUUUCAGAGAAAAACAGUGUUUACAUUACAGCCUAUGAACAUCUCUAGUGUGCAGCACUGACGUUCAGCAUCUCCACGCUUUGCAUGGAGACAGCGAACUUUCCCAAUUGAGAUGCAUAAAUAAUAUGUCAGUUGAAAUUCUGGAAGAACCACUGUUACUUAUCCAACCCCCCCUCCUCCCCUUCUUUUUAAUGAAGAUGGGGAGUACUAUUUAAGAAAACUAAGCAGAAGGACGCUGUACUGUGUGAAAGUGGUAGGAAAACAGAAAAUGCACUAUAACUGAGAUAACAGAAUAAUUUAUAAAACAGUGGAUUUAAUAUUUGUUAUUAUGAAUAACAUGGUCAUUUCUAUUCAGGAUGGCUGCUCAUCAGCAACGCUAUGAACCCCUACCAGUUCCCGAUCUCCAGCGCCUUCUGUGGAGUCACAAAACAAGCACGGGACAUGUCAACCAAGUGUGGCCAAAACUGUAUCUGGGAGACGCGUAAGGAGUGCAUUAGUAGCUUGCAAAAGUAA